This 73-nucleotide transfer RNA is filed under the name Thermoleophilaceae bacterium. RNAcentral describes it as "tRNA-Ala". It matches the Rfam family "tRNA". From Rfam's summary of the family: Transfer RNA (tRNA) molecules are approximately 80 nucleotides in length. The record is from RNAcentral. RNAcentral also lists the same sequence under 1 other name. Lineage: Bacteria; Bacillati; Actinomycetota; Thermoleophilia; Thermoleophilales; Thermoleophilaceae.
GGGGCCAUAGCUCAGUUGGGAGAGCGCGUCGCUUGCACCGACGAGGUCGCCGGUUCGAAUCCGGCUGGCUCCA